This 685-nucleotide long non-coding RNA is filed under the name Phoenix dactylifera (date palm). Its description in RNAcentral is "long non-coding RNA (PDAC_LNC017123)". The record is from RNAcentral. Lineage: Eukaryota; Viridiplantae; Streptophyta; Magnoliopsida; Arecales; Arecaceae.
AGAUUUUGGCUCCACAUGUAGCUUCCUAAACUCUUCUGGCAUAAGACUUGUAUACGAGCAAGAUCUUUCAUCUGCAUGUUUCCCAGUAGAUGCAGCUGCAUCUAAGGAUGUAGCUGGCCAAAGUUACAAAUCUUGCAUGCAAGAAGUGGAUUGAUGAUGACAGCCAAGAUUUGGGUGAAAAUUUUAUCGCCAGGCAUGCUGGAGUAGCUGACCAUUACAAUCAUCAUAGACAAGUCUUGUGCUUCAUACUCUCCUCGGUCUUGGUUGAUGACCAGUUGCGAAUUAUUAUAGAUCUUGAGACGUGUUACUCCGACAGCUCAAGCUAAUUUCAACCUAGUUUUCAGUGCCUUGUACCCCGCUUUAUUAUUGGAGUUCUUGAAAUUGAACCUUAGAUCAUACGCAGCGACGACAUCCCCAGAGCUAGAGGAUCUGUUGACAUGGCGUAUCCAGAAGGAUAGUGCCUUCGACUUGCUCUGCUCACCCUCGACCUCAGUCUCUACUUUUGCCUUGGCCUCAGCUUCCAGUACAGUACACUCAACGAUGAAGUCAGCGAGUGUAUGUAUCCUGAUGGUAGGCCUAGGUUGGUAGUUUAUAUCAAAUUUUCUAAGCUUAAUGGCCUAUUUGAUCAGGCAACUAGAAGUUUUUAAUUUCUACAGUACCUGCCUUAAUGGCUGGUCAGUCAUUA